Triplophysa rosa is the source of this 1028-nucleotide long non-coding RNA. RefSeq lists it as uncharacterized. The record is from RefSeq and is a predicted model, not a curated record. The transcript is spliced from 5 exons. NCBI's taxonomy places the organism in Eukaryota, Metazoa, Chordata, Actinopteri, Cypriniformes, Nemacheilidae.
GUCCAGUCACCAAGAAGCACUCUUCAAGUUAACGGUUCGUGGAUCAACAUAGACGCACCAGUCAGUCGUGAAUAAGUUUUUGAAGUAGGGGGCACUGUACAUUAAGAACCACCAGAACAGACCUAAGAACAGAUAACUUCAUCGUCCAUCACGAGUUAUGUCCAUCAUCAGUAGCCAAAAGAAAUCAAAGUGGCUUGACAUUUUGCAAUCCUUCUGCAAGACCAUGCUUGUGCCUGUGUACGUUGACAAUCAGGACCAAACUGAUGACCUACUUUCACCUCACUUCAUUUCUGGACAGGACACCCACACAGACUCACAGUGACACAAUCAAGUUUACACAAUAUGGAUGUCCUUUUUCCAGAGUCCAUCAUCUGUUCCCUUGCUGGUUUGGAAAAUCUCACCAUGCUGGAGGCUGAGGAGAAAUUUCUACAAGGGCCUGUCAUUGACAUAAGUGAGCGGGAGCAGUUUGACAGGAGGAUUAAGAACAUUUUGAGGAAGAGUGGCAACCCUAUCGAGAGCCAUCAAUCCUGUUUUUGAUAAUGGUCUUAAUAAAUAAUGUUGUUCACAAGAAAAUUGUCACUUUUUUCUUAGAAGAUAAAAGACCUUAGAAAUUUCUUAAAGUGGUGAAUUGUGUUUUUCUUCAUUACAUAGUAUGCAGGACACUGUUCUAAAUGCACGGCAGAUAUUUAAUUGAUGGUUCAUAUGAUUGCUCUUAAUGUCUUAUGGGCUAACUAUGGUUAAUAUUUGAAUGUAACUUUAUACAUGCCUAUACAUUCACAACAAACACUCAAGUCUUCUGUAUAUUUGUAUAUUACUGGCCACAGUAGAUUAAAUAUUAUUGUUGUACUGUACAUCUGAUCCAACUGUAUUAUUAUUAAUUUUUCAAUUCACAAAAACACUAAAUUGCAGUUGCAAUGGCAAAUCAAUUUUCUCCUGUAAGCUAUGUAUUAAGACCGUUAGUAGAUAUCUACAAAUAUUUAAACCUGUUCUGCAAAUCGUUAGUUAAGCCAUGGUUUCUGUAGUAAGAC